CAGAGCAUGUGCAAUAUGACAAGAAAUACAGAAGGGAAAUAACAGUGCAAGAACAAAUCCAAAACGAAAUGAAAACAUUUUGUGCAUUAAACACAAUCAGUGAAAAACUUUUGACUGCACCAUAUACAGGCGGGAUUCCCUGGGAAGAACUACAUGUGAGGAGCAUGUACAAUUCACUGGUUUUGAGAGGAAAGGAAAAACGAAAAUAACAGCAAAGACGUGAAAUAAGCUCAGGCACAAUUAAUCUGAAUUGCGCCCUGCAUGGUCGCCUCCUUCAGCUCGCCUUUCCACUGUUUGAAAAUUAACCUAAAGUUCAGAUGGUAAUUAAGGCUUAUUAUACAUGGAAUUCAAACGUAUCUCCAUUAAUUGAUUCAUGGAAUUACUAAGAUAAAAACAAUAUUUACUUUGCCUGGUAGUUUUACUGCUCCGCAGUGUAGCCAAAUUUUCUGUGGGCCCAUGUACUGUAGCCAAAUAUUAUGGCCCCACACCGUUAAAACAGGCCUCUGUUCAAAAAUAAAAUAAAAUAGAGCUGCUCUCCAUGCAGUCCUUUUAAUCAGUAUUCAAAGCCAGAUAGGCAGAAACGUGAUUAAGCUCCAAGUUAAGAGCACAAACAACACUUACUACUGUUCAGCAAAGUGACGCGUAUUCAAUUACCAAACGCGGGCAAAAUUUUUCAAUUUUAAAUUCCAUCACAUUUCAUAUUAAAGCAAUUAUAAAUACAUGGUCCUCAGCAACCACGAUAUCCAAUUUCAUAACUGCACUCUGGAGCUAGCAAGUUUUGAGGCAAACAAGGUCGUUUGACAACAACAUAAAUGAUAUCUCUUGGCAUUUUCCAUCUUCAGUUAGGACACUAGCUGCAAACUGAUGCAUUGAGUGAAUAAAGUUUUUCAAUUUUUUACUUUUAUUAAGGCACCAUUAUCUGAGUCUAUUGACUGAUUAUCUGGUUAAAGCGUCAGCAUUAGCAUAGAAUAUGCUUUCUACUUUGAUCCAUUGUACCAUUUCGAUUUCUCAAGACGCAACCCAAAAAGGUUGGUUACCGUUACAUUUCUUGGGUAGAAGUUUGAAUGUCAGAAAGCAACUAGCAUGAUAACAGGUUUUUUAAAGCUUUUCCACCAAAGUCAAUUGGUAUCUUUAAUGCAUUCAAGGACCAUCCAUGUGACCUAUUAAAAUUCAAAAGCUAAUGUGAUCCGGCACAAUAUGUAGGCAUGAAAUUGAAUAAAGGGGAAAUUGUUGACAAGUCAAAUGUUGUCAUAGCUCAAAAUUAUUACUAAGCAACAAGCAAGAGAGGAAGGGGAGGAGCCCACAAUUUUCAAACAACCAGGUAUCUGCACAGGGUGAUCCAAGUGAUUAAUUUCAUCAGAUAAGAGACAAUGCAUUAUAUUUCUUGAUUUCAGCAACUAUUGACAGAGAAGAACCAUAUAGAAAUUAAACAGGUACCAUUUACUAGACUUUGAACUGUUAUUCCAAUUCUCUCUCUCUCUCCAUGAAAGCAAUAUAGAAAAAAACAAAACAAAGGUCACAGAGGGAAUGGGAAUGAGGGCAUUAGAAAAAACCUCAGCAUCCGAGGUUGCAUAAAACCAACCAAAUAUUUACAAAAUGUGCAGGAAUUACUUAGAAAAUAUUUUUCUAUUGCUUAAAAUUCAAGUAACUUUUUAAAACAGUAUCCACUUUAAAAAGAGCAUCCUCCUUUAUCUGUAAAACAUUAUUGCAGAUCUUUCCAUACUAUUAUUAUUGGCAAAUAUUUAAAGUAACCAAUGAAUAAACACCAAAAACAAAUGUACCUGAUG
RNAcentral lists this unclassified non-coding RNA (1787 nucleotides) under Hevea brasiliensis (rubber tree). Lineage: Eukaryota; Viridiplantae; Streptophyta; Magnoliopsida; Malpighiales; Euphorbiaceae. The record is from RNAcentral.